This 430-nucleotide unclassified non-coding RNA is filed under the name soil metagenome. RNAcentral's name for it is "partial contains 5.8S ribosomal RNA, internal transcribed spacer 2, and large subunit ribosomal RNA". The stretch from base 1 to 120 matches the Rfam family "5.8S ribosomal RNA", at positions 35 to 154 of the family's 154-position model. The record is from RNAcentral.
GAUGAAGAACGCAGCGAAAUGCGAUACGUAAUGUGAAUUGCAGAAUUCAGUGAAUCAUCGAAUCUUUGAACGCAUAUUGCGCUCUCUGGUAUUCCGGAGAGCAUGCUUGUUUGAGUAUCAGUAAACACCUCAACUCCCUUUUCUUUUUUGAAAUUGGAGCUGGACUUGAGUGAUCCCAACGCUUUCUUCCAAGAAAGUGGCGGGUUGCUUGAAAUGCAGGUGCAGCUGAACUUUUCUCUGAGCUAUAAGCAUAUCUAUUUAGUCUGCCUAAAAAACAGAUUAUUACCUUUGCUGCAGCUAACAUAAAGGAGACUAGUCCUUGUGCUGACUGAUGCAGGAUUCACAGAGACAGCUUCGGCUGACUUUGUAAACUCGAUCUCAAAUCAAGUAAGACUACCCGCUGAACUUAAGCAUAUCAAUAAGCGGAGGA